Triticum urartu is the source of this 581-nucleotide long non-coding RNA. RefSeq lists it as uncharacterized. NCBI's taxonomy places the organism in Eukaryota, Viridiplantae, Streptophyta, Magnoliopsida, Poales, Poaceae. The record is from RefSeq and is a predicted model, not a curated record.
GCGACAUAUAGUGUUGGCUGAAUAAAUAUGUCGUCCCAUGCGAUGGGGUGAUAUUUUGAAUGUUCUCCUGUACUGGGAUUGGCUUUAUUCUGUGGUUUGCUUUAUGUCAUAGAGAUUUACUGAGUUUAACGGUGGUGUUGUGUUUUGGUGCUGAUACUUUUGUUGUAGAUGGCGAUGACUGAUCUGCAGGCUCUUGUUGUGGGGAACAAGAACCUGACCAUCCAUGUGUAUGUUUCGCGUUUGUGGCAGCAUUGUGGAUCCACUGAUAACAGUCCUAUCAAAGACACUGACAUGGUCCUUUUGGAUGUGUAGGGCAAACAUCUAUUCUGAGAUUGGUGAGAAGCUUGUGCCUAAGUUCAAUUGAGGCAACCACAUCCAUGUUGUUUCUUGGCAUGAGCAACCACAUCUAUGCUGAUAUUGGCUCCUGGGCUCCUUUAUAGGUCUCUUACUGUGAAGCUUGUGGUUGGCAUGCCUUUCAAGCAUUCAAUUCUUAUGAGGGUGGAGUUGGAGAAGGUGGGGCGUCAGAGCAGAGCUAAUUGCAGCGUCCACGACCUCCUUGGGCAUGGCCAAUCCCGCCAGAU